GCGUGUGCGCCUCUUUCUGUUAAAAGCGUUCAUACCCAAACCUAUGGGAGGGAUUUUGACAGAGGGCUUCGAGUCAUAGGCAAAGAUGCCGUGGCAUUCGCCGGGGGAGUUUUUUGACAUAGUGUUUAGUGCCCGGUUGGGAAUGGAUGGUUCUGGAUUUCUGUGGGACAGAGUUCCCAGGGAAAGGUGUGACCUUUUGGGUGACUUGACAAUGAGUAGUUUUAAGUUAGUCUGUGAGACUGGAUUACUUAGUUAACCGACUUAGUUGUUACUGUAAAUAAACGUUAUGUUAUGA
Long non-coding RNA from Macrobrachium nipponense, 295 nucleotides. RefSeq lists it as uncharacterized. The transcript has 2 exons. The record is from RefSeq and is a predicted model, not a curated record. NCBI's taxonomy places the organism in Eukaryota, Metazoa, Arthropoda, Malacostraca, Decapoda, Palaemonidae.